GGCGAGGCCGAAAGGCGUAGUCGAUGGGAAACAGGUUAAUAUUCCUGUACUUGGUGUUACUGCGAAGGGGGGACGGAGAAGGCUAUGUUGGCCGGGCGACGGUUGUCCCGGUUUAAGCGUGUAGGCUGGUUUUCCAGGCAAAUCCGGAAAAUCAAGGCUGAGGCGUGAUGACGAGGCACUACGGUGCUGAAGCAACAAAUGCCCUGCUUCCAGGAAAAGCCUCUAAGCAUCAGGUAACAUCAAAUCGUACCCCAAACCGACACAGGUGGUCAGGUAGAGAAUACCAAGGCGCUUGAGAGAACUCGGGUGAAGGAACUAGGCAAAAUGGUGCCGUAACUUCGGGAGAAGGCACGC
RNAcentral lists this ribosomal RNA (354 nucleotides) under Escherichia coli. RNAcentral's name for it is "partial 23S ribosomal RNA". It matches the Rfam family "Bacterial large subunit ribosomal RNA", at positions 1395 to 1751 of the family's 2925-position model. The record is from RNAcentral. Lineage: Bacteria; Pseudomonadati; Pseudomonadota; Gammaproteobacteria; Enterobacterales; Enterobacteriaceae.